GUUGAAAAUAUAGUUUAUUUUUUGUUACAGGCAAGUAUACAGUCAACAAAGAAUGCAAAAUAGCAUGUUACUGUUGUUGAUUCCAAUAAUGAUAUGAAGGAAACUAGCAUUACUGCCAUUUCUUCAAUCAACAAUUUUCAAUUUGACGGGUGGUGUAUUCAUACAUGGAAAGCUUUCAACAUAGGCCCAUUUUUAUAAAUUCUUACAUUUUAUGUUACGAGCCGUACCGGCUCAAGCGAAAAUAUCAAUCUCGUUGAGAUAACCGACGAUAAUAUAAAGUAUCUCUCUCACUUCUAGAUAUUAGUCAACUAUCUUUCUUGUGAUUAAUAGAUUAUAUAAACACCUAAAUAAACUUAUAGUUAAAAUUGAUAUCUAACACUUUGUCAUUAUGAAUGCAUUUUAUUUUCU
This 408-nucleotide long non-coding RNA is filed under the name Mytilus galloprovincialis (Mediterranean mussel). The record is from RNAcentral. Lineage: Eukaryota; Metazoa; Mollusca; Bivalvia; Mytilida; Mytilidae.